This 178-nucleotide non-coding RNA is filed under the name Thiopseudomonas sp. RNAcentral's name for it is "6S RNA". It matches the Rfam family "6S / SsrS RNA". From Rfam's summary of the family: E. coli 6S RNA was the first non coding RNA to be sequenced, but its function was unknown until recently. RNAcentral also lists the same sequence under 1 other name. The record is from RNAcentral. Lineage: Bacteria; Pseudomonadati; Pseudomonadota; Gammaproteobacteria; Pseudomonadales; Pseudomonadaceae.
AUCUCCCUCGAGUGUCUGCCAGUUGACUACGUCCCUGAGCCGAUUCUUACCACACUGGGGAUUGCAUUUUAGAUUGGUGAGCAUGUCCGCAAGCGGAAAGCCUAAAGGUCUGACGUAAUCUCCGCCUUGAACUUUCGGGUUCAAGGGCUAUGCCGACAGCGUCACGUCUGGGGAGUCC